RNAcentral lists this long non-coding RNA (570 nucleotides) under Homo sapiens (human). RNAcentral's name for it is "HSALNT0281335". Lineage: Eukaryota; Metazoa; Chordata; Mammalia; Primates; Hominidae. The record is from RNAcentral.
CCUUCUAUUACAGUACAGAAUAAUUAAAAAUGAGUCGUAUAUGAUUUAUUUUACUGUUAUUUUUAAUCAGGGCUUUAAUAAGGAAGAACCUAAAUUAGAUUGUUUUUAUAACAAUAGAAAGAGCAAUGAAAUAUUCUCUCUACAUCUCUCUUCUCUCCUCCCCCAUGCCCAGAGAAUUGCAGAUGAGAGGAUAUUCAGAUAACCAUUGAUUGAAUGACCUUGCUAUUCUAUAGAAUGUCAAAAUAGAUGCCUACAUUGUAUUGAGAAAGAAGCAAAAAUAUUUCUGAGCACCUGCUAUCCUAUUCCUAUCAAAGGGCGUGUGGAGGAGGAAGAAAGGUGAUAUGCAAUAAAAUCUAGAGUUUAGUAUUUAGUUUUCAAUUUAAUUCGUUAAAUACUGGGUAUAGACUCCAUGGAAAAGACAGUAGCAAAGGUUUCGGGAAUGAAGUCAUUGGAAAUUGACUCUGCAUUGAGAAAACUUACAUUUACUGUAAAUUAGGCCAGAAGUAUAUAAUGAAUUAUGACAAAAGUCAAAGUUUCUUAUAUAGAGAAAGAGUACACACAAAUGACUGG